AGGGUUCGAUUCUGGCUCAGGAUGAACGCUGGCGGCGUGCCUAACACAUGCAAGUCGAGCGAUUCUCUUCGGAGAAGAGCGGCGGACGGGUGAGUAACGCGUGGGUAACCUGCCUCAUACACAUGGAUAACAUACCGAAAGGUAUGCUAAUACAGGAUAAUAUAAGAGAUUCACAUGGAUUUCUUAUCAAAGCUCCGGCGGUAUGAGAUGGACCCGCGUCUGAUUAGCUAGUUGGUAAGGUAACGGCUUACCAAGGCGACGAUCAGUAGCCGACCUGAGAGGGUGAUCGGCCACAUUGGAACUGGGACACGGUCCAAACUCCUACGGGAGGCAGCAGUGGGGAAUAUUGCACAAUGGGCGAAAGCCUGAUGCCAGCAACGCCGCGUGAGUGAUGAAGGCCUUCGGGUCGUAAAACUCUGUCCUCAAGGAAGAUAAUGACGGUACUUGAGGAGGAAGCCCCGGCUAACUACGUGCCAGCCGCAGC
RNAcentral lists this ribosomal RNA (484 nucleotides) under uncultured bacterium. RNAcentral's name for it is "bacterial SSU rRNA". It matches the Rfam family "Bacterial small subunit ribosomal RNA", at positions 8 to 518 of the family's 1533-position model. The record is from RNAcentral.